GAUGAACGCUGGCGGCGUGCUUAACACAUGCAAGUCGAACGAAGCAUUUGCGACAGAUUUUUUCGGAAUGAAGUUGCUUAUGACUGAGUGGCGGACGGGUGAGUAACGCGUGGGUAACCUGCCUUGUACUGGGGGAUAGCAGCUGGAAACGGCUGGUAAUACCGCAUAAGCGCGCAAUGUUGCAUGACAUGGUGUGAAAAACUCCGGUGGUAUAAGAUGGACUCGCGUCUGAUUAGCUAGUUGGUGAGAUAACAGCCCACCAAGGCGACGAUCAGUAGCCGAGCUGAGAGGGUGACCGGCCACAUUGGGACUGAGACACGGCCCAGACUCCUACGGGAGGCAGCAGUGGGGAAUAUUGCACAAUGGAGGAAAAUCUGAUGCAGCGACGCCGCGUGAGUGAAGAAGUAAUUCGUUAUGUAAAGCUCUAUCAGCAGGGAAGAUAGUGACGGUACCUGACUAAGAAGCUCCGGCUAAAUACGUG
RNAcentral lists this ribosomal RNA (481 nucleotides) under uncultured bacterium. Its description in RNAcentral is "partial 16S ribosomal RNA". It matches the Rfam family "Bacterial small subunit ribosomal RNA", at positions 28 to 507 of the family's 1533-position model. The record is from RNAcentral.